Long non-coding RNA from Lytechinus variegatus (green sea urchin), 788 nucleotides. RefSeq lists it as uncharacterized. The record is from RefSeq and is a predicted model, not a curated record. NCBI's taxonomy places the organism in Eukaryota, Metazoa, Echinodermata, Echinoidea, Temnopleuroida, Toxopneustidae. The transcript has 4 exons.
UUAAAAUUAGGUCGGAGGGUAUACACACAUUUACAUAUAUACGUACGUUUAAAUGAUGUAUGCAUACAUACACCCAACCCUCAUACACACGCACUAACCACAUGCAAAGUACAGAAGGCUAAAAAUAAUUUAUUGAAUGAAACGUUUCUUAUUCCUUUUUUCCCCAACCAGAAGCAGCUCUCCCCGUAGAUGAUGCCUCUCAUGGAGGAGUCUACGAACAGGGUUAUGUAAAAAUUAAAGGCGACGGACAGGUACAGGCACCCGGUAUUCCCGGAUAUCAACGCAAGGUAGACGAGGUGACCUGUGACCUUGAUCUAUUUUGUUAAUCACGAUGAUGGUGAUAACACGGCUCUGUGAAAUCGUUACAUUUGCAUACUUUAAAUCGGUUGAGUCACCAGAUUUUUCUUGGCAUUACGGCUCUCAUAACUUUUCAUUACGUAGGAGACUAUAGCCAACCGAAUUCAUAACAUUAUUCGAGAUUUUGGAGCCACGUGUUCCAUACUGUUCAGAAUAUGGCGAGACAGAUCGAACUAUUUAUGCUAACAAGUGAAGAAUAAGCUCCAAACCUACAUUGUAUCCCAGACAAACAAAUGACAUCAUAAUAAUGUUAUUGUGACAUGGGUUUCGAUUGAGGGGAGUCUUAUUACCCCCCAUCUCCCAACAAGAUACGGAAUAAAAUUAAUAUGUAUCAUGAGACAAGUAUGAUCAUGAUGAUAAGGAGGGAGUAGAAAAUGACGAUUACCAUGGUGGAAAAAAGUGAGGAUUAUCGUGUAUAUAUAUAUAUAUAU